Molecule: ribosomal RNA, 484 nt
Filed under: uncultured bacterium
Lineage: Bacteria
Description: partial 16S ribosomal RNA
Rfam family: Bacterial small subunit ribosomal RNA
Source: RNAcentral
AUUGAACGCUGGCGGCAGGCCUAACACAUGCAAGUCGAGCGGAUGAAGGGAGCUUGCUCCUGGAUUCAGCGGCGGACGGGGGAGUAAUGCCUAUGAAUCUGCCUGGUAGUGGGGGAUAACGUCCGGAAACGGGCGCUAAUACCGCAUACGUCCUGAGGGAGAAAGUGGGGGAUCUUCGGACCUCACGCUAUCAGAUGAGCCUAGGUCGGAUUAGCUAGUUGGUGGGGUAAAGGCCUACCAAGGCGACGAUCCGUAACUGGUCUGAGAGGAUGAUCAGUCACAUUGGAACUGAGACACGGUCCAGACUCCUACGGGAGGCAGCAGUGGGGAAUAUUGGACAAUGGGCGAAAGCAUGAUCCAGCCAUGCCGCGUGUGUGAAGAAGGUCUUCGGAUUGUAAAGCACUUUAAGUUGGGAGGAAGGGCAGUAAGUUAAUACCUUGCUGUUUUGACGUUACCAACAGAAUAAGCACCGGCUAACUUCGUG